Molecule: non-coding RNA, 1854 nt
Organism: Salvelinus sp. IW2-2015
Lineage: Eukaryota; Metazoa; Chordata; Actinopteri; Salmoniformes; Salmonidae
Source: RefSeq, a predicted model, not a curated record
UGACUAUCCGUUAGCAUAAGGCGGCUUUGACUAUCCGUUAGCAUAAGGCUAGUUUUACUCUGACGUGGGCUUGUAUGCACUUUAAAAUCAUAGGUUUGGACUAUCUUCUGUCUCUUCUGACCAGCAUGGGACUGUUUUAGGAUUGUUUGAUCACCAUGUUGUCUGCUGUGUUUUGAUCAACCCUCUAUCUCACUGUACAAUUCCUCCUUGUCCUCGUCUCCUUUCCUCUUCCUGUCUUCUCUCCAGUCCGCAAGAGGCGAGUGGAGGGGGACCAGUAAGGGGCGGAGCCUGUCCUGUCUCCCAGCCUGUCCCGUCGUCUCAUCUCGCCGUAUGGAAUACAUUUUUCAGCCAAUCCCCUGGUCUCAUCUCACCGUGGCGUGCGUGUGGACGUUGUGCCAAAACCCGGAGCAAGGCGCCCUCAACCAGACYGGGACUGAGUCACAAAUGGCACCCUUGUUCCCUACGUAGUGUACUACUUUUGACCAGAGCCCUAGGGGCUGUGAUCGUGUACUAUAGAGAAUAGGGUUCCAUUUGAGACUCAGCUAACAUCAUCUAUCUGAGAAGAAGAGAAAUAACUGGAAUAACCCUCUCCUCUAGUACCUACAUAUCUAUACAUACAUGUUGUUGUUGUUAUUAUUGUUUAUUAUACUAUUGUUAGAACUACAGCUGUACAUCUUAUUGUUGAGUUUUUUUCAGUUCAUUUCAGGCGCUUUUUUCUUUUCUCUGAAUGAUUUAUUUUCUUUCUUUUUUUACUGUGUUUAGAGCAACAUGAACAGUACUGUAACCUAACCAAGUAACCAUGGGUUUAAACAUACUAUCCUAACCUCUGACCUCUAACCCCUACAGUGGUGUAGGGCCCUGACCUCUAACCCCUACAGGGGUACGGGACAGGCCUCCCUAGCUAGACUGCUGUAUCUCUUGGUUCUGAUAUGUAGAUCGGUGCUUCCUAGACAGGGGGAAGAGAGAGUCAGGACCCACUGGUCACCUCUAGCAGACUGGUUCACCUGGUAGGCCUGUCUGUUAACCUCCAUGGGUUGGCCUGGUAGGCCUGUCUGUUAACUCCUGGGGUGGAUGUGGUGGGUUGUCCUGGUAGGGCUGUCUGUUAACCUCCUGGGGUUGAUGUGGUGGUUGUCCUGGUAGGCCUGUCUGUUAACCUCCUGGGGUUGAUGUGGUGGGUUGUCCUGGAAGGGCUGUCGUUAACCUCCUGGGGUUGAUGUGGUGGGUUGUCCUGUCUGUUAACCUCCUGGGGUUGAUGUGGUGGUUGUCUGGUAGGCCUGUCUGUUAACCUCCUGGGGUGGAUGUGGUGGGUUGUCCUGGUAGGCCUGUCUGUUAGCCUCCUGGGGUGGAUGUGGUGGGUUGUCCUGGUAGGCCUGUCUGUUAACCUCCUGGGGUUGAUGUGGUGGGUUGUCCUGGUAGGGCUGUCUGUUAGCCUCCUGGGGUUGAUGUGGUGGGUUGUCCUGGUAGGGCUGUCUGUUAGCCUCCUGGGGUGGAUGUGGUGGGUUGUCCUGGUAGGCCUGUCUGUUAACCUCCUGGGGUUGAUGUGGUGGGUUGGUGCAGCUGUAGUGAACUCUGAGGAGUGUAUGAGAACAGCUGCCUCUCUGGAAAAGUCUCAAGCCCUGAAGAACGUUUAUAGAUGUCUUAAUACUGUCGUAAAGAAUUUAAAGUCUUAAAGAAUUAAACAAGUCUUACAAUUAAUAAUACGGUGGUUCUCUUUCAAUCUCAACAGUUUUUUUUUUUUAUCGAUUCAGACUCAGAUUUAAUGUGUUUAUUUUAUUUCCCUCUUUAUGUCACUGGGAAACGUAUGUGGAUGUUAUUUAACCAAGUAAAUAUGAUGAGGUUUUUAAUCCACGGUGA